RNAcentral lists this ribosomal RNA (1003 nucleotides) under Chromochloris zofingiensis. RNAcentral describes it as "small subunit ribosomal RNA". It matches the Rfam family "Bacterial small subunit ribosomal RNA", at positions 1 to 990 of the family's 1533-position model. The record is from RNAcentral. Lineage: Eukaryota; Viridiplantae; Chlorophyta; Chlorophyceae; Sphaeropleales; Chromochloridaceae.
UGGCAUUUGAUUCUAGUGCCGCCUAAUGCAGUGCAGGAGGUUUAAUACAUGUUAGUCUUUUGGUCAAAAAAAUGACUAUAUUGAAAUAUAGUCAUUUUUUGAAAUCAAGGCGUACGGGUGAGUAAUAGCCAGAGACAUUACUUUGUUUGUAAAUUAUGACAUAGUCCUUACAGAAGAUGCCUGGCUUGGAUUAGGUAGUUGGUGAGGUAACAGCUCACCAAGCCGAGGAUCCAUAGCUACCUUUAAUGAGGGUUUAGCCACAGCGGAACUGAAACAAGGUCCGUCCGAAUCAUUCGGCUUCAGUAGGGAAUCUUUGACAAUGAGCGAAAGCUUGAUCUGUGCCAGCCUGCAAUAAAGAGUUCAAAUAUUCUAAGAACCCGAUAGGGAAGGUUUAUUCCGUAACUUUAAAUACAAAUUGAAAAAUAACACAAAUAAGUUAUACAAGGUAUAACUUCGUAUACAAGUGAUGUUAUCCCUUUUUGUAUAAUGCCUGGGCAAUUCUGUGCCAGCAGCCGCGGUAAUACAGAUAGGCAGAGUGUUAGGCGUAUGGACUAGGCGUAAAUCGUGAGUAGGUGGUCUAUGAAACUGCAUAUUUAUUUCUAAAUUUUGUUAAUCACAUAUAAAUAUGUGCAACACAUUAGUAGAAUCAUAGACUGGAGUUGCAAAGAGGCUCAAGGAAAUGCACAAGUAUUGGUUAAAUAAUAAAAAAUGUGCCUGAACGUCAAUGGCGUAGGCAUUGAGCUAGUUGUAAACUGACGCCAAGUCACGGAAGCGUAGGGAGCGAAACAGAUUAGAUACCUGUGUAGUCUACGCCGUCAACAAUGAAUGGAAACUAUCUUAAAUUUAUGAAUUUUAAGAUAGUAUUAAACGAAAGACCAUUUAGCCUGGGGAGUAACGACGCAAGUCCGAAACUCAAAGUAAUAGACCGUUGGGUAGUACGGCUGUGGAACAUGCGCAUUGAAUGCGAAACAACUCGCAAAACCUUACCACCUCUUGAAUGUAA